RNAcentral lists this ribosomal RNA (843 nucleotides) under Curtobacterium flaccumfaciens. RNAcentral describes it as "bacterial SSU rRNA". It matches the Rfam family "Bacterial small subunit ribosomal RNA", at positions 619 to 1459 of the family's 1533-position model. The record is from RNAcentral. Lineage: Bacteria; Bacillati; Actinomycetota; Actinomycetes; Micrococcales; Microbacteriaceae.
GUAACGGGGCAAGACUAAGAGUUGGGGUAGGGGGAGAAUUGGAAUUCCUGGGUGUAGCGGGGGGAAUGCGCAAGAUAUCAGGAGGGACACCCGAUGGCGAAGGCAGAUCUCUGGGGCCGUAACUGACGCUGAGGAGCGAAAGCAUGGGGAGCGAACAGGAUUAGAUACCCUGGUAGUCCAUGCCGUAAACGUUGGGCGCUAGAUGUAGGGACCUUUCCACGGUUUCUGUGUCGUAGCUAACGCAUUAAGCGCCCCGCCUGGGGAGUACGGCCGCAAGGCUAAAACUCAAAGGAAUUGACGGGGGCCCGCACAAGCGGCGGAGCAUGCGGAUUAAUUCGAUGCAACGCGAAGAACCUUACCAAGGCUUGACAUACACCGGAAACGGCCAGAGAUGGUCGCCCCCUUGUGGUCGGUGUACAGGUGGUGCAUGGUUGUCGUCAGCUCGUGUCGUGAGAUGUUGGGUUAAGUCCCGCAACGAGCGCAACCCUCGUUCUAUGUUGCCAGCGGGUUAUGCCGGGGACUCAUAGGAGACUGCCGGGGUCAACUCGGAGGAAGGUGGGGAUGACGUCAAAUCAUCAUGCCCCUUAUGUCUUGGGCUUCACGCAUGCUACAAUGGCCGGUACAAAGGGCUGCGAUACCGUAAGGUGGAGCGAAUCCCAAAAAGCCGGUCUCAGUUCGGAUUGAGGUCUGCAACUCGACCUCAUGAAGUCGGAGUCGCUAGUAAUCGCAGAUCAGCAACGCUGCGGUGAAUACGUUCCCGGGCCUUGUACACACCGCCCGUCAAGUCAUGAAAGUCGGUAACACCCGAAGCCGGGGCCUAACCCUGUAAGACCUCAGGGUCGA